This 498-nucleotide ribosomal RNA is filed under the name uncultured bacterium. Its description in RNAcentral is "partial 16S ribosomal RNA". It matches the Rfam family "Bacterial small subunit ribosomal RNA", at positions 28 to 507 of the family's 1533-position model. The record is from RNAcentral.
GACGAACGCUGGCGGCGUGCCUAAUACAUGCAAGUCGAACGAGAGCAACCGGUGCUUGCACUGGUCAAUCUAGUGGCGAACGGGUGAGUAACACGUGGGUAACCUGCCCAUCAGAGGGGGAUAACAUCCGGAAACGGAUGCUAAAACCGCAUAGGUCUUCGAACCGCAUGGUUUGAAGAGGAAAAGAGGCGCAAGCUUCUGCUGAUGGAUGGACCCGCGGUGCAUUAGCUAGUUGGUGAGGUAACGGCUCACCAAGGCCGUGAUGCAUAGCCGACCUGAGAGGGUGAUCGGCCACAUUGGGACUGAGACACGGCCCAAACUCCUACGGGAGGCAGCAGUAGGGAAUCUUCCGCAAUGGACGCAAGUCUGACGGAGCAACGCCGCGUGAGUGAAGAAGGUUUUCGGAUCGUAAAACUCUGUUGUUAGAGAAGAACAAGUGCUAGAGUAACUGUUAGCGCCUUGACGGUAUCUAAACAGAAAGCCACGGCUAACUACGUG